GAACUUUGACCUUGCCUCACAAUGACAGCUGCCAUUUUAAAUACAGAUGCCUGUUGCAAAUUUGAAGCCAAGCUGAAAUCCUCCAACUGUCUGGGGAAAAGUGCUGGAGAAGAGCAGUUAUCAAGUAGGAAAAGAAAAUGAGGUGAGAGGGUUAAGAAGCUAUAUUCCCCACAUGGAUCUUUUCCUUUAGACUGCAUCCUCUGCAGCUUCAGGUUAGCUUCUGGAUUUGUUUCAGCAAAAAUAGCACAUGUGACGCCUGACAAAACGGCACCACCUGCUCCGUGCAUUGAUUAUCCAUGCCGUGCUCUGGAGUAAUUAGCUGUGGCAUCUGAGAGUUAUAACCAAAGCAGGCUCUGGAAAACAGUGCUUUAGGAGCUGAAUCCUCCAGAGCGUGACUGGGGAAAACAAGCAACAUUCAUUUUUCUUGGCACAAGAGGUCUUCAGGAGCAUGUUCCUCCAGUAGGAAUGGGAAUGCCAAAAGUGAAAGCAUUGGUGUGCCUUGUAAAUAUCUAUGCACAAAGGACUUGCUGUUGUUCACUGCUAGCCUGCCAGACAGGAAAAUUACUACAUAUGUGAAACAAUCUCCCCUGAAGACUAUCACAUGAAGGCCUCACUGUUUGAGGCAAUACAACAGAAGCUGCCUUUGCUUUCAUCGGUUGCAGAGACCUCCUGCCAUUCAUGAAUCACAUUUCCCCUCUUUUCUGUCUGCUUGAGAUGCUUUGCUAGCAUUCCAGGAAACAUUUGUUUGCCUUUCCAUCUUUCCUCAACGAGUGAACAUUAAACAGUGAAUAUUUCUAAGCUG
Molecule: long non-coding RNA, 802 nt
Organism: Lacerta agilis (Sand lizard)
Lineage: Eukaryota; Metazoa; Chordata; Lepidosauria; Squamata; Lacertidae
Exons: 4
Source: RefSeq, a predicted model, not a curated record